This 318-nucleotide ribosomal RNA is filed under the name uncultured eukaryote. RNAcentral's name for it is "partial 18S ribosomal RNA". It matches the Rfam family "Eukaryotic small subunit ribosomal RNA", at positions 1470 to 1796 of the family's 1831-position model. The record is from RNAcentral.
CCCUUAGAUGUUCUGGGCCGCACGCGUGCUACACUGAGUGGAUCAGCGGGUCAGGUUGCGCGAAAGCGUUUCCUAAUCUUUAAAUCCGCUCGUGAUGGGGAUUGACGGUUGCAAUUUUCUGUCAUGAACGAGGAAUACCUUGUAAGCGCGGGUCAUCAUCCCGCGCUGAAUACGUCCCUGCCCUUUGUACACACCGCCCGUCGCUCCUACCGAUUGAGUGGUCCGGUGAAUUAUUCGGACUGUAACGCAUUCAGUUCUGGAUGCAGUUACGGGAAGUUUUGUGAACCUUACCACUUAGAGGAAGGAGAAGUCGUAACA